CAGAGAGUGUGUGCCAGCAGCCGCGGUAAUACGGAAGGUCCGGGCGUUAUCCGGAUUUAUUGGGUUUAAAGGGAGCGUAGGCCGGAGAUUAAGCGUGUUGUGAAAUGUAGACGCUCAACGUCUGCACUGCAGCGCGAACUGGUUUCCUUGAGUACGCACAAAGUGGGCGGAAUUCGUGGUGUAGCGGUGAAAUGCUUAGAUAUCACGAAGAACUCCGAUUGCGAAGGCAGCUCACUGGAGCGCAACUGACGCUGAAGCUCGAAAGUGCGGGUAUCGAACAGG
This 282-nucleotide ribosomal RNA is filed under the name Segatella copri DSM 18205. Its description in RNAcentral is "Prevotella copri DSM 18205 partial 16S ribosomal RNA". It matches the Rfam family "Bacterial small subunit ribosomal RNA", at positions 494 to 776 of the family's 1533-position model. Lineage: Bacteria; Pseudomonadati; Bacteroidota; Bacteroidia; Bacteroidales; Prevotellaceae. The record is from RNAcentral.